AUGGAGUACCAGCCUCUGGUGUCGGCCCUUGAUGCUCGCACCUCCCUCGUCACCCUAGAUGAGUUGUUCACCAUGCUAAGCAAUUUUGAUCAGCGCGUGGCACUCUAUCAGGGUUCGGGGGGUUUCAAGUCUUCCGCGAACGCUGCCUCUCGUGGCCGUGGCGGCCGCCGCGGCGGACCUCCACACGGCAAGAACCGCUCGGGCGGCGGCGGCACCUCCUCCAACAACACCACUCCUUGGACCGGCCGUUCCCCCUCCACCAACUCCAGGGGACGCGGCGGCGGUGGUGGCCGCGGCUCCAACCGAGCGUGCCCUGAUGCGCCGCGCUGCCAGAUCUGUGGCAAGCUUGGGCACACCGCUUGGGACUGCUGGUACCGCUAUGAUGAGGACGAUGAUGACUCCCAGGAUCAGGACAAGGUGGCUGCUGCUGCGGACGGCUCCUACGGCGUCGACACCAACUGGUACAUCGACAGCGGUGCCACCGAACACAUCACCAGCGAGCUUGAGAAGGUGACCACGCGGAAAAAAUACCGCGGCAAGGAUCAAAUCCACACUGCUAGUGGUGCAGGUAUGAGGACUCGUCACGUUGGUCAUAUAGUUAUUAAAACUCCCCAUCGCAAACUUCAUCUUAGAAAAUUUUUGCAUGUCCCUAGUGCUAGUAUGUGUUGGAAAUAUGCCCUAGAGGUAAUAAUAAAAGGAUUAUUAUUAUAUUUCCUUGCUCAUGAUAAUUGUCUUUUAUUCAUGCUAUAA
This 750-nucleotide ribosomal RNA is filed under the name Triticum aestivum (bread wheat). RNAcentral's name for it is "partial small subunit ribosomal RNA". Lineage: Eukaryota; Viridiplantae; Streptophyta; Magnoliopsida; Poales; Poaceae. The record is from RNAcentral.